This 253-nucleotide ribosomal RNA is filed under the name uncultured bacterium. Its description in RNAcentral is "partial 16S ribosomal RNA". It matches the Rfam family "Bacterial small subunit ribosomal RNA", at positions 524 to 776 of the family's 1533-position model. The record is from RNAcentral.
UACGUAGGGCGCAAGCGUUGUCCGGAAUUAUUGGGCGUAAAGAGCUCGUAGGCGGCUUGUCACGUCGGGUGUGAAAGCCCGGGGCUUAACCCCGGGUCUGCAUUCGAUACGGGCAGGCUAGAGUGUGGUAGGGGAGAUCGGAAUUCCUGGUGUAGCGGUGAAAUGCGCAGAUAUCAGGAGGAACACCGGUGGCGAAGGCGGAUCUCUGGUCCAUUACUGACGCUGAGGAGCGAAAGCGUGGGGAGCGAACAGG